UAGGGAAUCUUCCACAAUGGACGCAAGUCUGAUGGAGCAACGCCGCGUGAGUGAAGAAGGUUUUCGGAUCGUAAAGCUCUGUUGUUGGUGAAGAAGGAUAGAGGCAGUAACUGGUCUUUAUUUGACGGUAAUUAACCAGAAAGUCACGGCUAACUACGUGCCAGCAGCCGCGGUAAUACGUAGGUGGCAAGCGUUGUCCGGAUUUAUUGGGCGUAAAGCGAGCGCAGGCGGAAUGAUAAGUCUGAUGUGAAAGCCCACGGCUCAACCGUGGAACUGCAUCGGAAACUGGCAUUCUUGAGUGCAGAAGAGGAGAGUGGAAUUCCAUGUGUAGCGGUGGAAUGCGUAGAUAUAUGGAAGAACACCAGUGGCGAAGGCGGCUCUCUGGUCUGCAACUGACGCUGAGGCUCGAAAGCAUGGGUAGCGAACAGG
This 429-nucleotide ribosomal RNA is filed under the name bacterium. RNAcentral's name for it is "partial 16S ribosomal RNA". It matches the Rfam family "Bacterial small subunit ribosomal RNA", at positions 355 to 776 of the family's 1533-position model. The record is from RNAcentral.